Non-coding RNA from Caretta caretta (loggerhead turtle), 339 nucleotides. The record is from RefSeq and is a predicted model, not a curated record. NCBI's taxonomy places the organism in Eukaryota, Metazoa, Chordata, Testudines, Cheloniidae.
CUAGGCUACAGUGAGAGAAAGAAAGAAAGAAAGAAAGAAAAAAAAAAAGAAGGAACAUAGGUGAAAGGCUUGUAAAGGACGUGCUGAGCAGACAUGCGAGUACAGUGUUCUGGAAUGGGGAACAAAUAGGAUGAAUCAGAAGACAUGAACUCCGGAUAUGAAUGAAAAGCCUGUUUGUGUCUAGCACAAUUGGAGAUAUUGUUUAGGAACAGUUCAUCCAUGUGAAACUAUGACCCUGUAAUACUGCCAAGGUCUGUGAGAGCUUUGGUUUCAUCGUGGUCUGUAUGUCUAGAACAUAAGAGCAGUGCCGGUGGAGUGUGCAAUGCUGAUAAGGACAGG